UACGAAGGGGGCUAGCGUUGUUCGGAAUCACUGGGCGUAAAGCGCACGUAGGCGGAUCAAUAAGUCAGAGGUGAAAGCCCGGAGCCUAACUUCGGAAUUGCCUUUGAAACUAUUGAUCUAGAGACUCGGAGAGGAUAGUGGAAUUCCAAAUGUAGGGGUGAAAUCCGUAGAUAUUUGGAGGAACACCAGUGGCGAAGGCGGCUAUCUGGACGAGUACUGACGCUGAGGUGCGAAAGCGUGGGGAGCAAACAGG
This 253-nucleotide ribosomal RNA is filed under the name uncultured bacterium. RNAcentral describes it as "partial 16S ribosomal RNA". It matches the Rfam family "Bacterial small subunit ribosomal RNA", at positions 524 to 776 of the family's 1533-position model. The record is from RNAcentral.